Molecule: ribosomal RNA, 474 nt
Filed under: uncultured bacterium
Lineage: Bacteria
Description: bacterial SSU rRNA
Rfam family: Bacterial small subunit ribosomal RNA
Source: RNAcentral
ACUCCUACGGGAGGCAGCAGUGGGGAAUAUUGCACAAUGGGCGCAAGCCUGAUGCAGCCAUGCCGCGUGUGUGAAGAAGGCCUUCGGGUUGUAAAGCACUUUCAGUUGUGAGGAAGGUGGUGUCGUUAAUAGCGGCAUCAUUUGACGUUAGCAACAGAAGAAGCACCGGCUAACUCCGUGCCAGCAGCCGCGGUAAUACGGAGGGUGCGAGCGUUAAUCGGAAUUACUGGGCGUAAAGCGCAUGCAGGUGGUUUGUUAAGUCAGAUGUGAAAGCCCGGGGCUCAACCUCGGAACUGCAUUUGAAACUGGCAGACUAGAGUACUGUAGAGGGGGGUAGAAUUUCAGGUGUAGCGGUGAAAUGCGUAGAGAUCUGAAGGAAUACCAGUGGCGAAGGCGGCCCCCUGGACAAAGACUGACGCUCAGAUGCGAAAGCGUGGGGAGCAAACAGGAUUAGAUAACCCUGGUGGCACAGAG